Molecule: ribosomal RNA, 916 nt
Filed under: uncultured bacterium
Lineage: Bacteria
Description: bacterial SSU rRNA
Rfam family: Bacterial small subunit ribosomal RNA
Source: RNAcentral
GAGUUUGAUCAUGGCUCAGGAUGAACGCUAGCUACAGGCUUAACACAUGCAAGUCGAGGGGCAGCAUGAAAGUUUGCUUGCAAACUUUUGAUGGCGACCGGCGCACGGGUGAGUAACACGUAUCCAACCUGCCUCAUACUCGGGGAUAGCCUUUCGAAAGAAAGAUUAAUACCCGAUGUCAUAGUCCUACCGCAUGAUGGGACUAUUAAAGAAUUUCGGUAUGGGAUGGGGAUGCGUUCCAUUAGUUAGUUGGCGGGGUAACGGCCCACCAAGACAACGAUGGAUAGGGGUUCUGAGAGGAAGGUCCCCCACAUUGGAACUGAGACACGGUCCAAACUCCUACGGGAGGCAGCAGUGAGGAAUAUUGGUCAAUGGACGAGAGUCUGAACCAGCCAAGUAGCGUGAAGGAUGACUGCCCUAUGGGUUGUAAACUUCUUUUAUAUGGGAAUAAAAUGUUCCACGUGUGGGAUUUUGUAUGUACCAUAUGAAUAAGGAUCGGCUAACUCCGUGCCAGCAGCCGCGGUAAUACGGAGGAUCCGAGCGUUAUCCGGAUUUAUUGGGUUUAAAGGGAGCGUAGGUGGAUUGUUAAGUCAGUUGUGAAAGUUUGCGGCUCAACCGUAAAAUUGCAGUUGAAACUGGCAGUCUUGAGUACAGUAGAGGUGGGCGGAAUUCGUGGUGUAGCGGUGAAAUGCUUAGAUAUCACGAAGAACUCCGAUUGCGAAGGCAGCUCACUGGACUGCAACUGACACUGAGGCUCGAAAGUGUGGGUAUCAAACAGGAUUAGAUACCCUGGUAGUCCACACAGUAAACGAUGAAUACUCGCUGUUUGCGAUAUACAGUAAGCGGCCAAGCGAAAGCAUUAAGUAUUCCACCUGGGGAGUACGCCGGCAACGGUGAAACUCAAAGGAAUUGACGG